AAAACGGUUCUUUUCAGAACCACAAAAUUGUUUACAAAUGAAAAUGU
Tribolium castaneum (red flour beetle) is the source of this 47-nucleotide regulatory RNA element. It matches the Rfam family "Histone 3' UTR stem-loop". From Rfam's summary of the family: The mRNAs of metazoan histone genes lack a poly-A tail. 3' end processing occurs at a site between a highly conserved stem-loop (modelled by this family) and a purine rich region around 20 nts downstream (the histone downstream element, or HDE). The stem-loop is bound by a 31 kDa stem-loop binding protein (SLBP - also termed the histone hairpin binding protein, or HBP). NCBI's taxonomy places the organism in Eukaryota, Metazoa, Arthropoda, Insecta, Coleoptera, Tenebrionidae. The record is from Rfam.